GUGGGGAAUUUUGGACAAUGGGCGCAAGCCUGAUCCAGCAAUGCCGCGUGCAGGAAGAAGGCCUUCGGGUUGUAAACUGCUUUUGUACGGAACGAAACGGUCCUGGUUAAUACCUGGGGCUAAUGACGGUACCGUAAGAAUAAGCACCGGCUAACUACGUGCCAGCAGCCGCGGUAAUACGUAGGGUGCGAGCGUUAAUCGGAAUUACUGGGCGUAAAGCGUGCGCAGGCGGUGCUGUAAGACAGGCGUGAAAUCCCCGGGCUCAACCUGGGAAUUGCGCUUGUGACUGCAGUGCUGGAGUACGGCAGAGGGGGAUGGAAUUCCGCGUGUAGCAGUGAAAUGCGUAGAUAUGCGGAGGAACACCGAUGGCGAAGGCAGUCCCCUGGGCCUGCACUGACGCUCAUGCACGAAAGCGUGGGGAGCAAACAGGAUUAGAAACCCGUGUAGUCC
Molecule: ribosomal RNA, 450 nt
Filed under: uncultured bacterium
Lineage: Bacteria
Description: partial 16S ribosomal RNA
Rfam family: Bacterial small subunit ribosomal RNA
Source: RNAcentral